GUACGACGCCGGCGGCAGGCCUAACACAUGCAAGUCGAACGGUAACAGGAUNAGCUUGCNCNUNGAUGACGAGUGGCGGACGGGUGAGUAAUGCUUGGGAACUUGCCUUUGCGAGGGGGAUAACAGUUGGAAACGACUGCUAAUACCGCAUAAUGUCUUCGGACCAAACGGGGCUUCGGCUCCGGCGCAGAGAGAGGCCCAAGUGAGAUUAGCUAGUUGGUAAGGUAAAGGCUUACCAAGGCGACGAUCUCUAGCUGUUCUGAGAGGAAGAUCAGCUACACUGGGACUGAGACACGGCUCCAGACUCCUACGGGAGGCAGCAGUGGGGAAUAUUGCACAAUGGGGGAAACCCUGAUGCAAGCCAUGCCGCGUGUGUGAAGAAGGCCUUCGGGUUGUAAAGCACUUUCAGUUGUAAGGAAAAGUUCGUAGUUAAUACCUGCCAGCCGUGACGUUAACAACAGAAGAAGCACCGGCUAACUCCGUGCCAGCAGCCGCGGUAAUACGGAGGGUGCGAGCGUUAAUCGGAAUUACUGGGCGUAAAGCGCACGCAGGCGGUUUGUUAAGCUAGAUGUGAAAGCCCCGGGCUCAACCUGGGAUGGUCAUUUAGAACUGGCAGACUAGAGUCUUGGAGAGGGGAGUGGAAUUCCAGGUGUAGCGGUGAAAUGCGUAGAUAUCUGGAGGAACAUCAGGGCGAAGGCGACUCCCUGGCCAAAGACUACGCUCAUUCGAAAUGUGGACGACA
RNAcentral lists this ribosomal RNA (742 nucleotides) under Alteromonas sp. NBF20. RNAcentral's name for it is "bacterial SSU rRNA". It matches the Rfam family "Bacterial small subunit ribosomal RNA", at positions 28 to 770 of the family's 1533-position model. The record is from RNAcentral. Lineage: Bacteria; Pseudomonadati; Pseudomonadota; Gammaproteobacteria; Alteromonadales; Alteromonadaceae.